UUGCAUAUCAACAAGCGGAGGAAAGGAAACCAACCGGGAUUGCCUUAGUAACGGCGAGUGAAGCGGCAAAAGCUCAAAUUUGAAAUCUGGUACCUUCGGUGCCCGAGUUGUAAUUUGGAGAGGGCAACUUUGGGGCCGUUCCUUGUCUAUGUUCCUUGGAACAGGACGUCAUAGAGGGUGAGAAUCCCGUGUGGCGAGGAGUGCGGUUCUUUGUAAAGUGCCUUCGAAGAGUCGAGUUGUUUGGGAAUGCAGCUCUAAGUGGGUGGUAAAUUCCAUCUAAAGCUAAAUAUUGGCGAGAGACCGAUAGCGAACAAGUACAGUGAUGGAAAGAUGAAAAGAACUUUGAAAAGAGAGUGAAAAAGUACGUGAAAUUGUUGAAAGGGAAGGGCAUUUGAUCAGACAUGGUGUUUUGUGCCCUCUGCUCCUUGUGGGUAGGGGAAUCUCGCAUUUCACUGGGCCAGCAUCAGUUUUGGUGGCAGGAUAAAUCCAUAGGAAUGUAGCUUGCCUCGGUAAGUAUUAUAGCCUGUGGGAAUACUGCCAGCUGGGACUGAGGACUGCGACGUAAGUCAAGGAUGCUGGCAUAAUGGUUAUAUGCCGCCCGUCUUGAACCACGGACC
RNAcentral lists this ribosomal RNA (617 nucleotides) under Saccharomyces cerevisiae (brewer's yeast). Its description in RNAcentral is "eukaryotic LSU rRNA". It matches the Rfam family "Eukaryotic large subunit ribosomal RNA", at positions 36 to 667 of the family's 3401-position model. The record is from RNAcentral. Lineage: Eukaryota; Fungi; Ascomycota; Saccharomycetes; Saccharomycetales; Saccharomycetaceae.